AUACGGAGGGUGCGAGCGUUGUUCGGAAUUAUUGGGCGUAAAGCGCGUGUAGGCGGUUUGUUAAGUCUGAUGUGAAAGCCCCGGGCUCAACCUGGGAAGUGCAUUGGAUACUGGCAGACUUGAAUACGGGAGAGGGCAGUGGAAUUCCUGGUGUAGGAGUGAAAUGCGUAGAGAUCUGGAGGAAUACCGGUGGCGAAGGCGGCCCCCUGGACAAAGACUGACGCUCAGGUGCGAAAGCGUGGGGAGC
This 247-nucleotide ribosomal RNA is filed under the name uncultured bacterium. Its description in RNAcentral is "partial 16S ribosomal RNA". It matches the Rfam family "Bacterial small subunit ribosomal RNA", at positions 523 to 769 of the family's 1533-position model. The record is from RNAcentral.